RNAcentral lists this ribosomal RNA (450 nucleotides) under uncultured bacterium. RNAcentral describes it as "bacterial SSU rRNA". It matches the Rfam family "Bacterial small subunit ribosomal RNA", at positions 354 to 796 of the family's 1533-position model. The record is from RNAcentral.
GUGGGGAAUAUUGGACAAUGGGCGAAAGCCUGAUCCAGCCAUGCCGCGUGUGUGAAGAAGGUCUUCGGAUUGUAAAGCACUUUAAGUUGGGAGGAAGGGUUUCUGGCUAAUAUCCAGGAAUUUUGACGUUACCGACAGAAUAAGCACCGGCUAACUUCGUGCCAGCAGCCGCGGUAAUACGAAGGGUGCAAGCGUUAAUCGGAAUUACUGGGCGUAAAGCGCGCGUAGGUGGUUCGUUAAGUUGGAUGUGAAAGCCCCGGGCUCAACCUGGGAACUGCANCCANAACUGGCGAGCUAGAGUAUGGCAGAGGGUGGUGGAANUUCCUGUGUAGCGGUGAAAUGCGUAGAUAUAGGAAGGAACACCAGUGGCGAAGGCGACCACCUGGGCUAAUACUGACACUGAGGUGCGAAAGCGUGGGGAGCAAACAGGAUUAGAAACCCUAGUAGUCC